Molecule: ribosomal RNA, 6098 nt
Filed under: Triticum aestivum (bread wheat)
Lineage: Eukaryota; Viridiplantae; Streptophyta; Magnoliopsida; Poales; Poaceae
Description: partial small subunit ribosomal RNA
Source: RNAcentral
UACCUGGGGCUCGUCGGCCGCCGGCUGGGGCGGCGGCGGCGGCUCGGCCUCCUCCUCCUCCUGCUGCUCCUCCUCCUCCUCCUCUGCCUCCGCCGGCUGGGCCUCGUCCUCCGCCGCCUCCUGCGCGACGAGCUGGCGCGCGUCCGGGAGUAGAGGGCGCAGCAGCUCGUCCUCCGGUUGGGGUUGGGCGCGGAGUAGGUGUGGGAGCGGUGGUAGACGCUCCUGGUCCUCCGGUCCGUGGACGUCCUUACGCGCUCACUAGGCAGGAAGUUAUUGUGUUUGUGUUCCUCGAGGGUAUGAUAUCCGUUCGACCGCUCAAACUAGUCCCUCUUACUACUAAAGAUGCUGGAUCACAAAAGAUUCAAGGACAGUCUAUGUAGCAUGGGAAACGGUCAUGCGACACGAAGACGAUCCGACGAGGAUUCGUAGGUCCUACGUAAAAGCGGAGUCAAAAGAGUAGGAAAACUUCUACGAUGGGAUCUUUUAUAUUUUAGGACCUAUUUCCUUCUACCACUUCGUAGCCUACCUUCACUAACCUUCGUAGAUCCUUCACCAUUUUUUGGGUGUCUUUGACUCUACUACUCUUGUAUACGAUAACCCAACGAGAGCUACCGCAACAUACCACCACCCGCAAACCAUCUUCUACAGAACUUGUACCCACAUAGUCGGUUCGAGUACGCAAAAGACGCUUAUGCUCAGAAACCACUACGGUGUAGAGGUCUCUUUCUACGGUUAGAAGGUGAUCUAUGGUUCGUAGGAGCCCCAUCUCUACUCUUAUCCCCGUUUCAUGCUAACGAAGUUCUGUCAAGAUAUGACCUGCCUUGUUCCCGACCUCUACCUUAUAGCUGACUGGGUUGAAACCUUUUUGUCAAACUAGCACUACAAACCUACUCCGUUCGUGUGCCUCUUGUCCCCUACCUACUGUGACCAAUGGACGUUGCACUACUACGACUAAGAUGUAACCUAGGAAAACUACGUUUCAGUCAGCUACCCCUUUUCAUAGGACGUCCACUUUCGGACUCUACUUGAGAACUUCUCUUUCAAGUCGGCAUGUCCUAGAGCUGAUUCUCCCUUUUAGUUUGGUCCACUUCCGAACGGACUUUCACUUGCCUGUGGAAAUAGCGGUUGUCCUAACUCUUACCCUUUAGCCUGAUCGUUUCUGUUCUUACGCCGAUUCCAGCUCCUGGGUUUCUUUCGUUAGCUAAACUUGUUAUCGAGACGUCGGGUGCUCAGACUAUAAGAAUCAUAAAGAUUUCUUCUCAUACUCCUGGCCAAGUCCCUAACGUAAUAGCCGAACUUCCUAUAUUGACUGUAACAAAACUUCCGUCACUCUCGACGUCUUCGCCUUCGGUCUAGUCGCUUACGAGGACUCCUUCGACACUUUCGUCGUCCACUACGACGACGACUCGAACACUUUAGACGACGAAAUCUCCAAACCUUCUCACUUUUAUCACCGCUACGGCAACAUAAUCGACGCCUCUUUCGACGUCGAUGACAUCAGCUACGACGGUACAGGUGAUCGCAGAGUUCUUCGAGACUGGUCCAAUUACUCCUCGUACAACAACUUCUUCGACACUUUUAAUCACUCCUGGUCCUAGACCUUCUAAAACAAUAGUAACUGGUCCUCGUCGAGAACGAUGAAUCCCUUUUUAUAUCGUAAAACACGAACGUCAUAGACCCUCUCAUGCAACUUCGAAACCCAGGACAAGAAGUACUUUUUCCACAACUACAAACGGAGCGUAACGACGUUGCCCCUUAGUUUCUGGUCCUCCCUACACCGGUGCAAAGUGAUGAAGUACUUUAAGAAUCUAACUAAACACGGGACCGGCGUGUGGCCUUUAAACGACGCGAUAAACAACUGGCCCCACCAUAAGUCUUCUAGGAGAGACAGGGAUUCUAAUGAGUCUGUAUAUGACGAGACAGCCGUACGAACAAAUGAAAGCCAAGAGAGGUCAGAUGGUACCUUGCACAAACACGCGAAAGUGGACUGUGUGAGUUGUUACACCAACUUGAUCGCGACGUUGAGAAUCUUACGGGUGUUCUACGUCGAUCUUUUUUACGUCGGUAUAAGAAACGACGACGUAAACACAAGUUUCGACAAGACCUAAGUAAACUACGUGUCCUACCCUACGUUUUUGAAGACUUAUAUAAUGUUCAACGACGUAGACAUUCCAGCCCACCAUUGAGGCCUCGUAAUCCUAGGAGGUUGCGCUUAGUUCCCUUACUGGCUAGUGGACGACUUUAAGACUGAGUCAGUCUUUUCGUCCAGCGCAUAGUAAGUACACAACGUGAUGCCGUUAUAAAAUCUCGAGUAGAGGAAGUCGAACAACUAAGGUAGGCCGGUUCGUUCUCAUAGGCAUCAUAACGAGCCUUAUGAAGGUCACGUUCUCGACCAAUGUUUGGAAAACUGUAGCCGUUGCUCCGAUACCUACGAUAAAAAGCAGUCCAGGUCGCCCUGUCUUUCAAUCCUGGACGAGAGCAUUCUCGAGCGACCGGACACUACCUAUUUAAGAACCGGAGAUUACCAGUAUAAUAGGACGAUCUCAAUACGGUCUCAGAUGGACGACUAGCCAUAGAAGUACUGAACCGAGUCAUACGUAAACCUCAAGAAGUGUAAUAUUGAGAAUACGGUGUGUCGGCGUUUAACUACCAAGUACGAUGUAAUUGAUUGUUGGCAUAACCAUACCGACAAUAUGAUCUAUAUCGUUUGUCACAACAACCGAUACAACUAGGACUCCACUAAACAGGUCGUAACUUACACGAACAGUUAGAACAUACGGGGGGAGGUAGCUAGUCGUUGUUCGGCAGGAGUCGACAAUUAGUCGUUGGACGUCCUUCAAUGAGUCUCUCGUCCCUGUCCUUACGACUUUUUUCGUGAAGCCUUUCUUUACAACGUCGCUUGGUUUCACUUAGAGCCCUUGCUAUACCACUACCGUGUGGACAACACAGUAGACCUCAACAACCACUGUUCUCUUAUAGCGAUCCGCAUCCUCGACCCCCAGGACCAGAACGACGAGUUAACCUUGUUCGAAUAGCGGUUCGAGCUCUUCAUCAGUCUCGGUUAUUACCAUAUUUCUAAGAAAACGUCGAAGAACCGUGAGCCUACCAAUGUGUAGGAAACCGAUAACUACGAUAAGCUCGUGAACGGACAGCACAUGACGAACCGAACCGAUCUCUGCUACGAUAACGUGUAUAUGACUGCUUCGAGGUCCAUCCCUUCUUUAAUAGUCUUGAUUAAGCACUAUGCUCAUGGGUCAGUAGACCUCCACUAUUACGUUCUACCGAUUUACUUGACUGGGUUCACCGUUAACUCGAGUAACGCCAGAACUGAUUAAGACCAUUUCUUUGUUGGAAUCGUUGACUACGACGACGAGGUCGUAACUUCGCGUAACUCGCUCGACCGUAUCGUCGACGAUGAGGACAGAGAAUGGUAAGGUCCCUUGACUACGUUGACUAUGUACUUGUAGAGGAACCUAGACCAAACCGACGAUGACGACGGUACAACGUCUUCCUCCGACUGGAACGUGGAAACGGUAGUUGACGACGUCACGAUGGACAGGUGGUCGGGCGACGGGACCUUGGUAGUAGACAAGUUCAAGUUGUUGUCACCGGAAGACCGGCACAAGUCCCUAAAGACAGGCUGUUUUGUUACUAACGACGUCUAGUUCGACCGGUUGCUAGUCUAAGACAACACGGAAGCAGAUUCUUCUUCCGUGACCAUAAGAGUAGGUCAAAGAGAUUUGCUUUAGUUGGGAAACAAAGCAAAAGACCAUUAUCUCGUUCGUUAUCGGACUUUUCAGGACAUGGACGGCCUUUACACCUGUCAUACUGAACGAGACGGAGACGACGGUUAUGACCUCUACACCUCUGUAGCGUAUUUUGUGGUUAAGGGAACGGUGAAUUCUCCUUCGAACGCCUAUACCUCAAAUCAAGACGUAGUCGUCGUUUCGCGGGACGUUAUUACCUAGUUCGUAGGGUUAGAGGACACAAGGUUUGAGGACGAGGAUGAGCGUCUCCGGAGAGACACCGUCACCUAAGAGGAUGACGUCGUAAAGUAGGUCCUUCCUGUUUGAAGUUGUUGUAAAGGUGACUCUUGAAACUUCUAAGAGUUACGUGUGGACCUCACCAUUGUCCGUGUGGUGUAGAACCACAUUUACUAGUUGUUUGUCCUUGAAGCCUCGCGUACUGUGAGCUGAGUAACCAACAUGUUAUAAACUUUGUAGUUGUGGCGGUUACAGGACGAGGUUAUUGUUGAAACGGCGGUCAGAGAGACGAGGUGGGAGUACAAACGGGACUCGGAUCGGCGUCGUAAUCACGUGGUCGUUUACAUUGACGAGCGUACCCUUCGGCACUCUAUUUGUCCCUCAAAUCGCCCUAGUUUCACGGGGCGUCCCUAGCGGUUAAAUAUAUGUCGUCCAAGUUCGGUACGGCACAAACGGCACUACUACGGAGCGACAACUGAACGUACUGAAAAUAACCUCCACGUAGUUCCCACCGCCGACCCUUAGUAUCACCACUUAAUUCUUAUAAACUGUCGUUGGAACGUUUAGAGUAUCUCUGCGUGUGAACAGUGGUUUUAGAACAGUGAUACCACCUAAGUUGUAGAUAACCACCUUGACUCGACUAAGAGAGUAGAUCGUAUCUACUCCAAUUCGAGAAACUACGAAAGAGUGACGUAUGCCCCGGAAACGUGUGUAAACUAUUGACGUUUCGACGGUCCAAAUUGGUACGACCCUGAAAUAAACGGACGGAAAGAUGCCUACGUUUAGUGGCCCGCCAAGAUAACAUACUACAGGUCUGCGUAUUACAACUAUACGUCGAAGGACUAUUGAGGUCGGACGGUCCAAGUCCGGCCCCACAUGUUGGGUAAUAUGUAAAGUCAGGAAGUCUACUAUACAACGACACCUUGCCCCAGGACACCCUAUCUGCUUCAGGGUGAGGAUAGGUAGUCAAACUGGUCAAGUGUCUGAUAACACCGCCACCGAAAGUAGGUCGACCUUUACUCCACUAGGAUUUAAGUCUCCACACCCUAGACUCUUUCAAAUUCGAAGACUCCUCACAGGGUAGGGACCUGGUCUGUCAUUAGUUUAAGUUACCUUCACCACUACAAUAGAUACGGUAGGAGUCCGCAUUGGAACUCCUACAUUGCAGUAGGUAGGUUUGGGCCUCCCAGUCUGUAGGGGACAAGGGACGUAAGGCGUGCUAGCUACGGCAGUGAAUGCGUCUGUAACGUUGGCAGGUUUAUCUGGCACCGCAGGAGCUGGAACGGUGACUCGGGUUACUAAGGGAAGAGCCUCAACAACGGUACCUGCUAGGACUACUCUACAAGAGGAGACGAGCGUAUAAGCUUCAACCGUCCUUUGCCGGUUGGCUACUACUAAGUCUGGGCCUCCUACCUCCCCUGAGCCUCCUCCUACUACUGCUGCUGCUGCUGAGCCUGCACCUACAGGAGGACCCCUGGCUAAAUCCCGAGCCCCUGUGCCUAAGACUCCUACUAGGAUCAUUGUCGUCGCCACUGCUACCGCCACUGCUACUGCUGCUCCUCCUAUACCUGUCGCCCCUACUUUUGCUGCUACUACUACUCCUUCCGCUGAAACUACACCCUCCCCCCAACGACCUCUACUACCCGCCGCCACUCCCGCUACUCUCACUGUACUAGCUCAGGAAGUCGUCGCCACUCCUUCUUCCCACCGAGUACACUCUCGUCUACCACUAAGAGAAAAGAAAGAUGCGUACCAGCGUAGCGCCACCGCUCCCGCCGUGCACCCCUACGUCCUCCUCCGUUCCGUUCCGAUCCUCCUCGACUUGCUCUUUGCCGCAGAAACCCGGUGGCUGUCCCAUCCCACGUUUGUUCUUUACGUUUAGACAUGCGAGUUUUAAUACCAACAUUUAAUAACCGGAACGACCCUCCUUCAAAUGCAAUGCACACAACCUUCAUCGACAACAAUGGACACUCUCGCGUUGCGUUCAGACUCCGUAAUCCACAACAUACAUUUUCGUUUCGACCAUUAAAAAGUGACAAAGAGUAGCCAACUUUUAAAACCUUUAUAGUACACAACUACGACACGACACACUUCUCAACACAAGGAAAAAUGACA